Molecule: non-coding RNA, 1772 nt
Organism: Kogia breviceps (pygmy sperm whale)
Lineage: Eukaryota; Metazoa; Chordata; Mammalia; Artiodactyla; Physeteridae
Source: RefSeq, a predicted model, not a curated record
AAGUUCCAGGGCCUGCACUGGGGCCAAGGUGGGGGGUAGGGGGGUAGGAGGAAGACUCGGGGUAGGAAUGGCGGCUCAAAUUCCAAUUGUGGCCACCACUUCCACUCCGGGGAUAGCCCGGAACAGCAAGAAGAGGCCGGCCAGUCCUUUCCACAACGGCAGCAGCGCCGGGGGCUAUACCGCCAGUAAGAAGAAAAAGGUGUCCGCCUCUGGCUUUGCGCAGGGUAUCAGCAUGGAAGGCGUGAGUGAGAAUAAAAUGGUGCCCUCUGAUUUUAGCACAGGACCUCUUGAAAAAGCUGCCAAACCUUUGCCAUUUAAGGAUCCCAACUUUGUGCACUCUGGCCAUGGUGGCGCAGCGGCUGGCAAGAAGAAUCGAACCUGGAAGAACCUGAAACAGAUUCUGGCUUCUGAAAGGGCACUGCCAUGGCAACUGAACGAUCCUAACUACUUCAGUAUUGAUGCUCCUCCAUCCUUUAAACCAGCUAAGAAGUAUUCUGAUGUUUCAGGUCUUCUUGCCAGCUACACUGACCCCCAGAGCAAGCUGCGCUUCAGCACCAUCGAAGAGUUUUCCUACAUUCGGCGGCUGCCGUCCGACGUGGUCACGGGCUAUCUGGCCCUGAGGAAGGCCACGAGCAUCGUUCCCUGAGCCUGGAGAAACGGAGCCUGAAGUGGAAAACUGUUUCAAAGGAACCGUACUUUGAAACCCACUGCUGACACGGAAGUUCUCUGCAGGAGCAGAGGCUGCUUCCUGGGUUCCCACUCUCGCUCCUGCGUCCCCUGCCUGCACUCAGCCUAGGAAACCCCCAUGGAGCGAGCCUUCCUUGCCAGCCCUUAUUUUGGCCAGAGAGCUGAGUUCUGAAGGUCAGGUCACUUCUCUCACCCCAAGCAACAGGGAUCCAGGCUGAGCCAAACUAAGCUUCGAGCUGUGAGCAGCUCCAAGAAGGAGUCCUCCCACAGCUUCUGAACAGGCAGCUCUGUUCCUGCCUGACCUCACUUCCUGUCUGGAUGUUUUCAGUGUCCUCUUAGGUGCUCUUUCCAACAGUCUGACCCCCACCCCUCUGCUUUCCCCUCUGCUGUCAGAGGGCCUUUCCACAACUUUGGGUGAACUUGACUUUGCCCAUCACGGCACAUCCACUGGUGAUUUGUCUGAGAUACCUUGUCAUUUCUGGUGCUGACCUGUAGUAUCCAAAGGAUGAACUCGGUCCUUUAAAAGAGAAGACAGUUGAAAAACCAGAUUGUUUUCAUGAGACCAAACUGAGGUCCAAUCUGCUCUGAGUGGAGUUUGACUCUUUCCCAAUAUCUGAUACUUGUCUUUAAUAGGAAGAAAGCAGUCUACUAUUGGGAACAGUUUAGAACUAACUACCUGUAAUGUUGGACAAAUGCUUUCGAGAGCUGAGGGCAGUCUGUGUGGAUGAGAAAGACCCAUUUUGUCCCCAUCUCCCAAGUUAAAGCACGCAUCCAUCUGGAUUUUGAAUGUGUUUUGUAAUUGGGCUAAAAGUAUUUUCAAUGAGAGAUGACUCACUUCUGAAUCCAUGGCCAUCAGAAAGCAAUACCAGAUACUUGAUGCUGUUUCCAGCAACCUAUAACUGCGAGUUGGGAAUGCUUAACUUAGCAAAAACAAAAGGUAAGGAAAGAAACUGCUGGAGUACAGAGUAAAGAAACCAGAACAAAGAGGACAGAUACCUUGGGAAGAGACUGAAAAUGAUGUCCUCUUGCAAAUGCAUGAAAUGAUUAGUGACCUUUAAAAUAAUGUUCUAUCUGGUAGGAAUGUG